GCUGUCAUCUGAAGGAUGUUUCAUACUGCUGCAGACCAGGAAAAAAGGCCUCUUCUGGGAUCUCAAGCCUGAAUAAGAGAAUGAAUAUGGCUUUUUCUUGGGUGUCUCGGUUGUCUCUGCUACCUCCUUAUGUUUCCUCAUGAUGGUACCUCUUCCCUGCCUUUCGGGGUGACUUUAGUUUUUCCCAGUGUGUAAGCAGAGAGUGUUAAAUGUUUCCUUGUCAGGGCUGUACACUGGGCUCACCUGCUGCUGCUUUGCCUUGCAGGAAGCACUUAUGGUGCAGAUUCUGCUGGUUAUUUCAUGGGGAGGCAGAAAGUGCCUUCAUGCAGCAUUGAGCUAGGGGUGAUGGCUUCUGUGUAGAGAUGGGGCUCUUUGGAGGAAAUCAGAGCUUUUGCUGCUGUUGUUUGUCCUUUUGUGCAAAGCUUCCUAUCAGAGAUGAGAUCCUCUAGUGCUGACUGUGUUCAGAUAACGUGCAUGAGCACAUGCCAGAAACAUCAGUGUACAGAGCAGCAGUGGAAUCAAGACCGGCUCUUCUGCGAGCUGUUAGAUUACACUAAGCAUUGUGGUUUAUUUACUCCUUGUGCCAUUUCCUCCCAGGAUCUCUCGAGUUUCUACAGAGAGACCUCUCCAGUGAGUGAUGAAGUGGAGACCAGGCAGCAACUUUGGUUCCCUUCUGCACAACAAUAUACAAGCCAGAGACUUCCUAGGGAACAGGAAGCAAAAGGAGAGUCUUGGUGAGACAACGUGUAGGGAGAGCUGGCAGCCAGCCAAAAGCUCCAUCCAGCUACAAGAAGUUUGUAGGCUGUGAAACCACACAGACAAAUAUCCAUCACUGGAAAACACCACUGAUCUACAGACAAGCUUGGUUCUGGCUGACCGUUGUGCCCCACACCAGACUCCAGAAUGUCAGUGCCACUGGAUUACACCAUUCUGCUGGAGAAGUCUGUUCAAGUUUCUGUUCAGAUCUUCAGGUAAGGUUAAAUUUAUUUUUAUUUCUGAAACACAGAGUAGUUAGAAGCAAGCUCAGGGUCACAGAUGGCAGCUCAACCUUGCAGCAGAACGCAGCAUCCUUUUCCUCCUGGCCUAAACAGUUGAGUAUCAUUUGCUAUGUCAGCCUGCAAAUGCAGGGAUAAAUUUCAUUGGAUGAAGUGAUGCCUGAGCAUGGAUGAAAAACAGAUGAAAGCUUAGCAUAGGUGAGCUACUUGACAUACAGUUAGAUAAAUUUAAGCAUAUUUUUUAAUGGUGACUGUUUAACAGUUGGCGCCAAUUACCAAGGGAUGCAAUGCUUUUUUUUCUAUCACUUAAAGCCUAUGAAGAAACCAUAUCUUUCUGUCUCAGCCAAAACAGUUGGUUUUGAGACAUUCAAGAACACUUCUAUGCAGUGUAAGUGAUCAUUAAUAGCCCUGGCUGGUCUCUUGAAAUCUGGAAGUCUAAACGCUGUCAUUUUAAAGCUGCUUGGCAUUCUUUAGAAUAGAUAUCACUGUCUUUAGACAGUUCUUCCCAUCUCCUCAAUCUGUUUUCCCAUUAUAUUACCAUGGGCAUGUCUUAAUGAAACCAAAAAGCAGUCAGGAGCUGUAUUUAUUAGAGGCUUCUGUAUGUCUGUAUAAUGUGGAAUGGUAGCUUUCGCCAAACACAGAGGUUGGUGUUUGAAGAGGCUUUGUGCUGAGGUCAUGGCUUGCUAAGAGUUUCUUCUGGUAGCAGUACUAUCAUAAGCAUCUACCAUUCACACCUGCUGCUUUUUUGUUUGCUUCUUUUCUUCUUCUUUUUUUUUUUUUUCUUCCAGCUGCAAUAGCUUGUACCUUGAGGGCUUUCUCACUGACUUUGAGGAAUAGUUCUCUUCUUUGUGGGGCUAGCUGAUCUCCUGUCUCAAGACCAGUUUAAGAGUGUAGGUGCUAGGGGAUAAGCUGGCUACUCUUGAAAGAGGCACCUGUUUGGAUUUUCUUUGUCAGGUGGGAGCAGACGAUCAUAGAAAGAGAUCAACCAAGAAUCAUAGAAUCAUAGAAUCACAAGGUUGGAAACAACCUGCAAGAUCUUCUGGUCCAGCCAUCCUCCCACCACCACUGCUACCACAAGCACUAAACCAGAUCUCACAGCUCCUCAUCCAGACAUCUCUUGAGCAC
Non-coding RNA from Meleagris gallopavo (turkey), 2120 nucleotides. NCBI's taxonomy places the organism in Eukaryota, Metazoa, Chordata, Aves, Galliformes, Phasianidae. The record is from RefSeq and is a predicted model, not a curated record.